GACGAACGCUGGCGGCGUGCUUAACACAUGCAAGUCGAGCGGUAAGGCCCUUUCGGGGGUACACGAGCGGCGAACGGGUGAGUAACACGUGGGUGACCUGCCCUCAGCUCUGGGAUAAGCCUGGGGAAACUGGGUCUAAUACUGGAUAUGACUCCACGGUGCAUGUCGUGGGGUGGAAAGCCUUGCGCGGCUGAGGAUGGGCCCGCGGCCUAUCAGCUUGUUGGUGGGGUGANGGCCACCAAGGCGACGACGGGUAGCCGGCCUGAGAGGGCGACCGGCCACACUGGGACUGAGACACGGCCCAGACUCCUACGGGAGGCAGCAGUGGGGAAUCUUGCGCAAUGGGCGAAAGCCUGACGCAGCGACGCCGCGUGAGGGAUGACGGCCU
This 388-nucleotide ribosomal RNA is filed under the name uncultured bacterium. RNAcentral's name for it is "bacterial SSU rRNA". It matches the Rfam family "Bacterial small subunit ribosomal RNA", at positions 28 to 417 of the family's 1533-position model. The record is from RNAcentral.